RNAcentral lists this ribosomal RNA (253 nucleotides) under uncultured bacterium. RNAcentral describes it as "partial 16S ribosomal RNA". It matches the Rfam family "Bacterial small subunit ribosomal RNA", at positions 524 to 776 of the family's 1533-position model. The record is from RNAcentral.
UACAGAGGCCUCGAGCGUUGUUCGGAAUUACUGGGCGUAAAGGGAAUGUAGGUGGUGACGUAAGUCAGAUGUGAAAGCCCUGGGCUUAACCCGGGAAGUGCAUUUGAUACUGCGUUGCUGGAGUGCGAGAGAGGAAAGCGGAAUUCCCAGUGUAGGAGUGAAAUCCGUAGAUAUUGGGAGGAAUACCGAUGGCGAAGGCAGCUUUCUGGCUCGUAACUGACACUGAGAUUCGAAAGCGUGGGUAGCAAACAGG